UACGUAGGGUGCGAGCGUUAAUCGGAAUUACUGGGCGUAAAGCGUGCGCAGGCGGUUUUGUAAGCCAGAUGUGAAAUCCCCGGGCUCAACCUGGGAAUGGCAUUUGGGACUGCAAGGCUGGAGUGCGGCAGAGGAGACUGGAAUUCCUGGUGUAGCAGUGAAAUGCGUAGAUAUCGGGAGGAACACCAGUGGCGAAGGCGACUACCUGGCCUGUUCUUGACGCUGAGGCGCGAAAGCUAGGGGAGCAAACGGG
This 253-nucleotide ribosomal RNA is filed under the name uncultured bacterium. RNAcentral describes it as "partial 16S ribosomal RNA". It matches the Rfam family "Bacterial small subunit ribosomal RNA", at positions 524 to 776 of the family's 1533-position model. The record is from RNAcentral.